RNAcentral lists this ribosomal RNA (237 nucleotides) under Escherichia coli. Its description in RNAcentral is "partial 16S ribosomal RNA". It matches the Rfam family "Bacterial small subunit ribosomal RNA", at positions 563 to 799 of the family's 1533-position model. Lineage: Bacteria; Pseudomonadati; Pseudomonadota; Gammaproteobacteria; Enterobacterales; Enterobacteriaceae. The record is from RNAcentral.
AAGCGCGUGUAGGCGGUUUGUUAAGUCUGAUGUGAAAGCCCCGGGCUCAACCUGGGAAGUGCAUUGGAAACUGGCAAACUUGAGUACGGGAGAGGGAAGUGGAAUUUCGAGUGUAGGGGUGAAAUCCGUAGAUAUUCGAAGGAACACCAGUGGCGAAGGCGGCUUCCUGGACCGAUACUGACGCUGAGACGCGAAAGCGUGGGGAGCAAACAGGAUUAGAUACCCCAGUAGUCAACG